CUAAGUCAUGUUGAAGCAGCGGUUCCCGUACGAUCACCGAAGUUAAGCAAGGUCGCGCCUGGUCAAUACCUAGAUGGGUGACUGCUUGGAAAUACCAUGUGCUGUAA
Molecule: ribosomal RNA, 107 nt
Filed under: Acanthosepion pharaonis
Lineage: Eukaryota; Metazoa; Mollusca; Cephalopoda; Sepiida; Sepiidae
Source: RNAcentral